GAGUUUGAUUAUGGCUCAGGAUGAACGCUGGCGGUAUGCCUUAUACAUGCAAGUCGUACGAGAGUUUUUAGCUCAAGUGGCGGACGGGUGAGUAACACGUAAGAAUCUGCCUUUAGGAGGGGGACAACAACUGGAAACGGUUGCUAAUACCCCAUAUGCUUUCGAGUGAAAUGGUUUUUCCGCCUAAAGAGAAGCUUGCGGCUGAUUAGCUUGUUGGUAGAGUAAUAGCCUACCAAGGCGACGAUCAGUAUCUGGUUUGAGAGGACGAUCAGACACACUGGAACUGAGACACGGUCCAGACUCCUACGGGAGGCAGCAGUAGGGAAUUUUCCGCAAUGGGCGAAAGCCUGACGGAGCAAUACCGCGUGAGGGAUGACUGCCUAUGGGUUGUAAACCUCUUUUUUCAGGGAGGAAUAAAUGACGUGUACCUGAAGAAUAAGCAUCGGCUAACUCCGUGCCAGCAGCCGCGGUAAGACGGAGGAUGCAAGUGUUAUCCGGAAUCACUGGGCGUAAAGCGUCUGUAGGUGGUCAAAUAAGUCAACUGUUAAAUCUUGGGGCUCAACCUCAAAAUCGCAGUCGAAACUAUUAGGCUAGAGUAUAGUAGAGGUAAAGGGAAUUUCCAGUGGAGCGGUGAAAUGCGUAGAGAUUGGAAAGAACACCGAUGGCGAAGGCACUUUACUGGGCUAUUACUGACACUCAGAGACGAAAGCUAGGGUAGCAAAUGGGAUUAGAUACCCCAGUAGUCCUAGCCGUAAACAAUGGAUACUAGGUGUUGAACAGAUCGAUCUGUGCAGUACUAAAGCUAACGCGUUAAGUAUCCCGCCUGGGAAGUAUGCACGCAAGUGUGGAACUCAAAGGAAUUGACGGGGGCCCGCACAAGCGGUGG
Molecule: ribosomal RNA, 886 nt
Filed under: uncultured phototrophic eukaryote
Lineage: Eukaryota
Description: bacterial SSU rRNA
Rfam family: Bacterial small subunit ribosomal RNA
Source: RNAcentral